This 1073-nucleotide long non-coding RNA is filed under the name Capra hircus (goat). RNAcentral's name for it is "lncRNA (ENSCHIG00010020841.1)". Lineage: Eukaryota; Metazoa; Chordata; Mammalia; Artiodactyla; Bovidae. The record is from RNAcentral.
UCUUGGGUGAUGAAGGGCUGCAGGAGAGCGAGAGCUGUGCUGUGUGCUGCCGCAUCCCAGGACUGGGGAGGGCCCUGCAUUCGGUAGAUGUUGCACAUUUGUUAGAAUAAUGGCAGGACUAUUCCAUUUCUCUGGAGUCAAUAAAUAAGAAUAUUUUUAUUUCUAUUUACUAUAUAUGUGCUUAUGAAUAUUGCUUAGGAUUAAAUAAAUAAGGUAAACAUUUAAAAUGUUUGAUCAGAAUCAAGUAGCUUUUGGCUGGAGGCACCUGGCUGUUCUUUCUCUGAGUCACCUUCAGGUUUACUGAAGACCUGAUCUGAAGUUGAGACACAAGGUGUGACCACAGUCAGAACCCUAUGCCAAAUAGGAUUAACAUCCGGUAACUGCUCUUGGCAAAGAGGUACUGAGUACUGAGCUGCAGUGUCAGCUGACCUCCGUGGAGCCCCUCCUCACCAUGGCUCCUGCUGCCUAGGGGCCACUGCUCUGAAGGUCAUCCCAUGAGGGACUCAGGUGGCUGCAGAUGUGUCUCAGAGGUUCCUGGGCAGGAAGGUGAACACCCCAAGGCCCAGGCUGCACAUGCUGGCUCUUUGUCUUUGGCGGAAGGACUUCUGUGUGGUGGGACCCCUGUCCGUGUAUCCCAUGCCUCUUGUCCUUCAGAAGACACUGCCCCUAGUGCCCUCUGCAGCUCUGUGAGGAGACGAGUCAGGGCUUGGAGUGCUGAAUUACAGGUAGCUGCUAGGGAUCCAGCCUGGUGCCCUUCCAAGGGUAGCACAGGAUCCUCUGAGACGUCCCCAGAUUGUGGGGACAUUUGGUGACUUCAGGGUGAAGUCAUGGUCAGAGUCAAUGGAAUACAGCACAUGUAGCCCUUUCCUAAUGCCAGUUGUAUUUUUAAAAUGUAUCUUUAAUUGGAGGAUAGUUACUUUACAAUAUUAUGUUGGCUUUUGCCAUACAAGAUGAUUCAGCUGUAAGCAUACAUAUGUCUCUUGCCUCUUGAACCUCCCCCCAUGUCCCACCCAAUUACACUCCUAUCCUGAAAGAUGAUGCUGUGGAAGUGCUGCACUCAAUAUGCCAGCAAA